CGAAGGGUGCAAGCGUUACUCGGAAUUACUGGGCGUAAAGCGUGCGUAGGUGGUUUGUUAAGUCUGUUGUGAAAGCCCCGGGCUCAACCUGGGAAUGGCAAUGGAUACUGGCAAGCUAGAGUGCGGUAGAGGGUAGUGGAAUUCCCGGUGUAGCGGUGAAAUGCGUAGAGAUCGGGAGGAACACCAGUGGCGAAGGCGGCUACCUGGACCAGCACUGACACUGAGGCACGAAAGCGUGGGGAGCAAACAGGAUUAGAUACCCUGGUAGUCCACGCCCUAAACGAUGCGAACUGGACGUUGGGAGCAACUUGGCUCUCAGUGUCGAAGCUAACGCGUUAAGUUCGCCGCCUGGGGAGUACGGUCGCAAGACUG
Molecule: ribosomal RNA, 372 nt
Filed under: uncultured organism
Description: bacterial SSU rRNA
Rfam family: Bacterial small subunit ribosomal RNA
Source: RNAcentral